This 2422-nucleotide long non-coding RNA is filed under the name Homo sapiens (human). Its description in RNAcentral is "HSALNT0353139". The record is from RNAcentral. Lineage: Eukaryota; Metazoa; Chordata; Mammalia; Primates; Hominidae.
GAGUUGGGGGAGAGGACCAGAACCACCUGCUGGAGAAGGGGAGCUACGGGGGCCGGGCAGGGUCCAAACGCCUCACGUAGGCGGCGGCGCCACGGUCUUCGGGGUCACAGGGAAGAGAAGGGCUCUCCUCAAGCGGGUGGAAGGAGGGAGGCCUCCCGAGGGAGUGAGACUCUAGGCCACUCCCCCGCAGCAAGGCAGGAUCACCUGCGACGCGGAGAGCGGUUAGAGGGCCCUGGAGUGGAAAAGGGCAGUGGGACCUGGUAGCUUGGGUUCCCUGCAACUUGGGGUUCGACCUCCAGGCAAUGAAGUAGGGAUGGUCCUGCAAGUCAAGAUUCCAGUAGCAAGAGUGCAUCAGAUCUCUGUAAGGAAAAUAACUAACAUUGCUCAGUUCCCUGUAGAGUUGCAGGGCGCUUUAACGUUAUCUCCCUUGGUUCUCCAUCAGGUCGUAGUGGACUAAUUUUACAGGCGAAGUUAAGUGACUUACCCAAAACCUCACAGCUAAUAAACGGCAGAGCCGGCACCCAGCUGUACUGGCUUCCAAUUCUGUUAGCUUACCAGCGCAUCACAUUAUCUCCAUAAAUCCCCAUGAUUCAACUAAUAUUAGACGCCCCACAGGGCUGGAAGGAGUGUUGCUCAACAAUAUCCAAAACCACAGAGGUUGAAAAGCACAAGGAAAGAAGGUAUGUUUGCACUUUGUGAUUAGGUAGUAGGGUCUUUGAGACCACAUUGUUCUUAUUGAAAGCCUGGGAAGAAAGAUCCCCUUUCUGGUCAAGUUUAGUCUAGGGAUCCAUCCCAUCUUCCCCAGUUCCCACGUGUAUGGGACAUGUCGAGAUAAGUAGAUAGAUUGGACAGUGGGAGAAAGUAGUUCUCUUCCAGUUGCUUCUAUUUUCUCAGCAAAGUGAGGAGCAAGAUCAUUUUGGCAGACUGCUAAUUGUCCAUCACAAUUUAGUCUCCCUUUCUCCCUGAAAACACAGACUGCUUUUCUCAGCCUCUCUUUCAGUUGCAUAUGGUCAAGUAUUAAGUUAUAGAACGUGAGCAGAUGUUAUGUCUGCCACUGUCAGGCCAAGGCGUUUACUUUGAGAGUACUUGUGCCUCUUUCAUGCAUUUUCCUUUCUGCCAGCUGGACCCUGGACACGGUGACUCUGAUUCAAUUAUGCAGAUGACCACAAACCUCUGGGGUUGGCAGAGCCACAAGAAAGAAGGUGCCUGGAUGAAGGAGAGCUACCCACUGACCUGGACACCCAAUUAUAGGAUAGACAGUGAAGUGCAACUACAGCCCGCAAAUGAAAAUGAAUAAUAUUAAUCCAGCCCCUCAAGGCAGUCAUCUGUCUUAGAGCUAUUGGAAUCCUGGAUCAUUGUGGGAAAUGAAAGGAACUGGUUUUUAGCAAGGAGACCAAGAAACUCUACUCCCUAGGGGCUAGCAAUGAGAGAAAGGAAGCCUUAAGUCUUUGAGCACAGGGUGACAGUUUGGGUCCUAUGUGAGAUGAUCAAAUCCACAGCAACAGAGGAAAGGACAAAAGGAAAAGGUCUGUAGCAGCACUACAUCAGAAAAAAAUGGAUUCAGCAAGGAAGUGGGUGACUCUGAGUAAGCAUCCAUGUCAGGAUGGUUUUGCUACAGCCCCCAACAAAACAUUAAUUAGUUUAAGAAACUCAACUUCGGUUUACAAGUGUUUUGGAAAAGUAACAAAGAACAACAUAAGUAACAAAAUAAUUCCUCAGGUCAUUACAAUGGAUGUUUCCUAUAACUGAAAAAUAUGGUUAAAAAGUACAAACUACAUUUGGUGUGCAAACUGUUUAGUUCUUAAUUCCAAACUAAAUUGUACAUUAUAUAGUAAAAUUUUGACCAGAAAAACUUGGAGAUUUUAGUAAAAAUUUCAUUGACAUAUUUACAGCCCCAGUGUAGUUUGGCCGGUGUGCAAAGCCUGACUAAGGAGGUUAUAGAAAAAAAUAUCAGACUUAAGCCCAUCAAAUCAUUAAAGAUGCUUUGGCAAGACUUCAAGCUUUACAGACAUACUCCAUGUGACCAGAGAUGUCAUAACCAGUGUUCUUUCUCUUGAAAUGUUAGAAUGCUUUAGUUUUAUUCUAUAAUUUCCGUGUUCCAUGGAACAGCAUUCAUUUCUCCCAGUUUUAGUAACAUAAUGAGAGAUAUAUUGAGUGUAUAGAGCAGGAAAGACAUGAAAACUUAUAUUGCAUAAUAUUAGCAAACAUAAAAGAUAGCAUUAUAAAUUUUUAAAAAUCCAAAAAAAUUCCAGAAACAGAACAGUGAGCAUGUUUAAAAAGUCAGGACUGACCGUUUCUGUGAGUUCUGAGGACUGUAAAUGAGCCUCAAUCCAUAAAGCUGAGAGGUUGUCUUAGCCCACAUAUGCAGCAGGUGACUCCCUCUGACAAAAGCAAGAUUUAGCUGGAUCUUUUAAAAAAAAAA